RNAcentral lists this long non-coding RNA (512 nucleotides) under Homo sapiens (human). RNAcentral's name for it is "HSALNT0185105". The record is from RNAcentral. Lineage: Eukaryota; Metazoa; Chordata; Mammalia; Primates; Hominidae.
AGAGACGCUCCUCACUUUCCAGACUGGGCAGCCCGGCAGAGGGGCUCCUCACAUCCCAGACGAUGGGCGGCCAGGCAGAGACGAUCCUCAAACUCAAACUUGCAGAUGCAUAGCCUUUGCUAUUUCCAGUCCUUUUACUUCUGAACAGUCUGAACCAUGUAACAGUGCCAAACUGGGAGAAAUACGAAAAGAUCUGGGUUUCAUUAAGUAGGUGGCACACAAAGACUACUCUAGGAGUAAGUUGUUCUUGUUCUUUUUGCUGGGUUGUGCACUUGCAAACCUCUACCACCUCCUUUUGAAACUCGACAUCUUCCUGCGGGUUAAGUGACAGGAUUGGCCCAGCUGGUACAGAAAAGGCUGCCAUGCCAAAAGCGGCCAUCACUAACUCUACGAGGCACUCCUAGAAACGUCAGGUUCUCAGCUCCCCAACAAAUUUUUUUGAUCGUAAUAUAUAUGUUGCCUUCAUAGGAGUCCCUAGAGGGGAUGCCUAAUGAAUUUAAGGCCUGAAACCA